Molecule: ribosomal RNA, 796 nt
Filed under: Lepeophtheirus salmonis (salmon louse)
Lineage: Eukaryota; Metazoa; Arthropoda; Copepoda; Siphonostomatoida; Caligidae
Description: partial 16S ribosomal RNA
Source: RNAcentral
AAAAUAUCUAUCCUCCCUCUAAGCCUAGGUAGAAAACUAAGUUAUAAGACAAGGAUGAACACGAUAUAUGGUACUUUUUAAAAUCUGGUUCCCAAAGAAAUAAAACAUUUUAAAAAGAAUUUUAAAAUAAUGUAUUUAGCUUAUGCUGAGUAUAUAUUAGUGAGCAACUAACUUAAAAAUAUUUAAGGAAUAAUAGUCCCCUCUGUUAUAAUAAAUUACUAUUGACCUAAUUUAUUUAUUAAGCUUCUCUUCUUAUUUGGGUAAUUAAUUCUAAGAAUUAGAACUUGUUUACACUAGUAAAUAUACUUUUAUUAUUUCCUUACUUAAAUAAGUUUUAUCGAUUUUAAAUUAAAUAUAAACUAAAUAACUUGAGAUUCUCCAAACUGUUUAACAAAGACAUAGUAAGACUGUGUCUUAUGUAUCUGCCCAAUGAAUAAUUUUUUAUGGCUUUAAAGUAGCGCAAUAAUUAGUUUAUUAAUUGUAAACCUGUAUGAAGCUAGCAUUGGUUAAUCAUGUUUAUUCUUAUCUGUUGAAUCUUAGUUAUCAGUACAAACGCUGAUAUGCCCCCCGAAGACGAUAAGACCCUAAGACCUUCACCUUGUUUGGCUGGGAUAGCCUACUUAAUAUAAUAAAGAAACCUUAAUUAUUACGAACCAAUUAUUUUGCUAUACAUAGGUACCUUAGGGAUAACAGCGCGUAAUACUUUUAGAGCUCUUAUUUAAAAGAUAUUCGUGACCUCGAUGUUGAAUUAAGUAAUAUAGUGCUGCAGAAGGUGCUAUUUUAAGUCUGUUCGACU